Molecule: unclassified non-coding RNA, 298 nt
Filed under: fungal sp.
Lineage: Eukaryota; Fungi
Description: partial internal transcribed spacer region
Rfam family: Eukaryotic small subunit ribosomal RNA (bases 1-46)
Source: RNAcentral
AAGUCGUAACAAGGUUUCCGUAGGUGAACCUGCGGAAGGAUCAUUAAUACGUAUCCAAACGUUAAAACCCCCACCGUGAACCUUCAUCCUGCUCUUGUAACCCGCGUAGUUCGCAAUGUUUCCCCAAGCAGUCAGUGUCGGAAAGUGUCAUUGAUUGUGCGAGGAUAGCGCUUCUACGAUUCCUGUAGACCGUACACUCGGGCAGGAGCUUUGCCAAAGGGUCCCCAUGCCCCCUAAUAACCCCACAGUUUAAUGUGAAGCUCAAUGUAAUACAUUGGGUAAAAAAUCUUGGUUCUCU